This 669-nucleotide ribosomal RNA is filed under the name uncultured beta proteobacterium. RNAcentral describes it as "bacterial SSU rRNA". It matches the Rfam family "Bacterial small subunit ribosomal RNA", at positions 89 to 754 of the family's 1533-position model. The record is from RNAcentral. Lineage: Bacteria; Pseudomonadati; Pseudomonadota; Betaproteobacteria.
UGACGAGUGGCGAACGGGUGAGUAAUACAUCGGAACGUGCCCAGUAAUGGGGGAUAGCUCGGCGAAAGCCGGAUUAAUACCGCAUACGAUCUACGGAUGAAAGCGGGGGACCUUCGGGCCUCGCGCUAUAGGGUUGGCCGAUGGCUGAUUAGCUAGUUGGUGGGGUAAAGGCCUACCAAGGCGACGAUCAGUAGCUGGUCUGAGAGGACGACCAGCCACACUGGGACUGAGACACGGCCCAGACUCCUACGGGAGGCAGCAGUGGGGAAUUUUGGACAAUGGGCGAAAGCCUGAUCCAGCAAUGCCGCGUGUGUGAAGAAGGCCUUCGGGUUGUAAAGCACUUUUGUCCGGAAAGAAAUCCUUGGUUCUAAUAUAGCCGGGGGAUGACGGUACCGGAAGAAUAAGCACCGGCUAACUACGUGCCAGCAGCCGCGGUAAUACGUAGGGUGCGAGCGUUAAUCGGAAUUACUGGGCGUAAAGCGUGCGCAGGCGGUUUGCUAAGACCGAUGUGAAAUCCCCGGGCUCAACCUGGGAACUGCAUUGGUGACUGGCAGGCUAGAGUAUGGCAGAGGGGGGUAGAAUUCCACGUGUAGCAGUGAAAUGCGUAGAGAUGUGGAGGAAUACCGAUGGCGAAGGCAGCCCUCUGGGCCAAUACUGACGCUCAUGCAC